Molecule: long non-coding RNA, 633 nt
Organism: Lytechinus variegatus (green sea urchin)
Lineage: Eukaryota; Metazoa; Echinodermata; Echinoidea; Temnopleuroida; Toxopneustidae
Exons: 3
Source: RefSeq, a predicted model, not a curated record
UGUUUGAUGUUUCGCCGCGAUGAUUCGAAAUGAAACGAAGAAAUUAGCAGAAGUGAAGGUCACCGGAGAGGUGAAUGAGGAUUUUACCACUGGAACUAGAGAGCUUGGCUCUGACUGGUCUACUACAGCAAGGAAUGUGCCAGGGGCCAAUCUGAUGAACAUGUGGCAGAAGAUUUGGCAGUGGGUGAAGAAACACUGAGAUUGAAAUGCAACCACAGGUGGAGGCUUCACCCAAACUUUUCAGACGGAUGCGAGAUACAAAGUUACCCAAGUAUAAAUGGUUGAAGGUUUUGGAGAGCCAGACAAGAAGGCAGGAAAUGUGAUGUCACUUGUAAGUUAAAACACUCUUAAGUAUGACUGCCUCACUUUGGCGAAGAAAGUAGUCACAUUAAAAAAAAAUUAAAUUACCAGUACUGUUCUCUUCUUUAUUUGGUCUUCUAGCAGUCAAUAUUUGAAAACAGUGACAUCUAUAAGUCUAUAAGAUAAUAAGUGCUUAGAUGCUUAAAUGAUUAAUGAUGAUAUUUCUUGGACAGUUGUAAAACAUCCAAUAUCAAUCAAUGCUAGAUGCUGUGACUUGCUUUCUAUUGCCAAAGUAGUAAAUGAAUGUUCCAUUGUUCUGCAUUCCUAUUAGAA